AGAACAGAGCAGUUUGAAUGUAUACCAGGUGGCUUCUUUUGUGGUGUUCCCUUAUGAAUAUUUACAUUGAAAUAUUGAUCCUAAGAACAUGAGACAGUAGUACCUUAUGUGACAUCUGUGUCUUCUGUUUCCCAGGUGUUGCACAGAAAGAUGGAAAGUUGUCUCCUUUCAGGUGACAUAAGUGCCAUCAGCAGUUGCCAAAGUGUAGAGCUUUGCAUCUGGGAGCUGGCAGGUAAGUUAGGGAUGGUUAAUUCCUGCUUUAAUAGGAUUUGUAACAUCCAGACCAGGCAAUAUGCUGCCAUAAUGAUGUGAGAUACUGAAUAGCUUUAUUUUACAAAUCCUGUGAUACUCACUCUUAAUUUGCUUUUGCAAAGUGCAGGGAAAUAGAACAUUCUCAUAUAUUUCACAUGAAAACAUUUUAAAGAUCUGUACUUAUGAACUCUCCAACAAGUUUUAUCGCUUGGUGGUGUGCUUUGUGCUGUUUAUUACUGGGGUGCAUGGGGAAGUUUUUCUUAUGAGGGAUGAUAAACAUGCAAAAUCCUAAUUAAUUAGGAGUUGGUAAAAGUUCAAAUACUAUUGCUGUUCUGUUUAAAAACAAAAUUAAGAUACUAGUGAGGUAGAAAGAAGAAACCAGAUAGGUCCCUUACUUUUCCAAUGUGUUGGUGUGUUUUUUUUUUUUAAAUGCUCCUUGCUAAAAGACAUCUAUCCUAUCAUCUGAGGACUUGGAUAUUAUUUUUACAUCAGUUCUUUCACAAAUAAGCUAUUAUUUCUGUUAUUGUAAUCCUACAUGUACUCUAAAGCCUAAUAAAAUUCUUCCUCAUGUAUCUGAGAGAAAAAAAUGUAUUCUUUGUUUUAGGAAGGCCAGUGGCUGUGGCUCUGGUGGAUUAGCAGAUGGGAAGCUUAUUCCAGAGAAACAGCUCUUUCAGGAAAAUUACUUUGACAGAAAACUCUAAUUCAUGUGACCAGAAUUCACAUGCCUUAAAAGUAAUUAGGGUAACUGGCUUCAGUUAAAAAUAAACACAUAAACCAAAUCCAACAGUAGGUUUGGCUUUUGCUCAGCAGCCUUUCCCUGGCUGUGGGUCUGUCCUGCUGCUGGGGAGAGUGGGAUAAAUGCGGGGAGAGAAAGAGUUACUGCUGUGGGGGUGAGAAGCAUUUAUUGCUGGGAAAAUGAAAUCAUCCUCCUUUUCGCUAGAGCUCUGUCUUUCAGGAGCCAGGGUCACAAGCAGCGUCACCAUGGAGGUGCUGUGUCUCAUGGCCAUGCCUUGGAGAGACUGCGGCUUGGUAGAUGGUCAGG
Molecule: long non-coding RNA, 1294 nt
Filed under: Falco tinnunculus (common kestrel)
Lineage: Eukaryota; Metazoa; Chordata; Aves; Falconiformes; Falconidae
Description: lncRNA (ENSFTIG00000005450.1)
Source: RNAcentral